ACGGGUGAGUAACACGUAGGCAACCUGCCCUCAAGUUUGGGACAACUACCGGAAACGGUAGCUAAUACCGAAUAGUUGUUUUCUUCGCCUGAAGGAAACUGGAAAGACGGAGCAAUCUGUCACUUGGGGAUGGGCCUGCGGCGCAUUAGCUAGUUGGUGGGGUAACGGCUCACCAAGGCGACGAUGCGUAGCCGACCUGAGAGGGUGAUCGGCCACACUGGGACUGAGACACGGUCCAGACUCCUACGGGAGGCAGCAGUAGGGAAUCUUCCGCAAUGGGCGAAAGCCUGACGGAGCAAUGCCGCGUGAGUGAUGAAGGUUUUCGGAUCGUAAAGCUCUGUUGCCAGGGAAGAACGCUUGGGAGAAUAACUGCUCUCAAGGUGACGGUACCUGAGAAGAAAGCCCCGGCUAACUACGUGCCAGCAGCCGCGGUAAUACGUAGGGGGCAAGCGUUGUCCGGAAUUAUUGGGCGUAAAGCGCGCGCAGGCGGUCAUUUAAGUCUGGUGUUUAAUCCCGGGGCUCAACCCCGGAUCGCACUGGAAACUGGGUGACUUGAGUGCAGAAGAGGAGAGUGGAAUUC
RNAcentral lists this ribosomal RNA (580 nucleotides) under uncultured bacterium. RNAcentral's name for it is "bacterial SSU rRNA". It matches the Rfam family "Bacterial small subunit ribosomal RNA", at positions 102 to 669 of the family's 1533-position model. The record is from RNAcentral.